GUAGGGAAUCUUCCACAAUGGACGAAAGUCUGAUGGAGCAACGCCGCGUGAACGAUGAAGGCUUUCGGGUCGUAAAGUUCUGUUGUAAGGGAAGAACAAGUGCCGCAGGCAAUGGCGGCACCUUGACGGUACCUUGCGAGAAAGCCACGGCUAACUACGUGCCAGCAGCCGCGGUAAUACGUAGGUGGCAAGCGUUGUCCGGAAUUAUUGGGCGUAAAGCGCGCGCAGGCGGCCUCUUAAGUCUGAUGUGAAAGCCCCCGGCUCAACCGGGGAGGGCCAUUGGAAACUGGGAGGCUUGAGUAUAGGAGAGAAGAGUGGAAUUCCACGUGUAGCGGUGAAAUGCGUAGAGAUGUGGAGGAACACCAGUGGCGAAGGCGACUCUUUGGCCUAUAACUGACGCUGAGGCGCGAAAGCGUGGGGAGCAAACAGGAUUAGAAACCCUUGUAGUCC
This 450-nucleotide ribosomal RNA is filed under the name uncultured bacterium. RNAcentral describes it as "partial 16S ribosomal RNA". It matches the Rfam family "Bacterial small subunit ribosomal RNA", at positions 354 to 796 of the family's 1533-position model. The record is from RNAcentral.